Molecule: transfer RNA, 74 nt
Filed under: Thermomonas carbonis
Lineage: Bacteria; Pseudomonadati; Pseudomonadota; Gammaproteobacteria; Lysobacterales; Lysobacteraceae
Also listed under: 2 other names
Rfam family: tRNA
About the family: Transfer RNA (tRNA) molecules are approximately 80 nucleotides in length. Their secondary structure includes four short double-helical elements and three loops (D, anti-codon, and T loops). Further hydrogen bonds mediate the characteristic L-shaped molecular structure. tRNAs have two regions of fundamental functional importance: the anti-codon, which is responsible for specific mRNA codon recognition, and the 3' end, to which the tRNAs corresponding amino acid is attached (by aminoacyl-tRNA synthetases). tRNAs cope with the degeneracy of the genetic code in two manners: having more than one tRNA (with a specific anti-codon) for a particular amino acid; and 'wobble' base-pairing, i.e. permitting non-standard base-pairing at the 3rd anti-codon position.
Source: Rfam by way of RNAcentral
GUGGGUGUAGCUCAGUUGGUUAGAGCACCGGAUUGUGAUUCCGGGGGUCGUGGGUUCAAAUCCCAUCAUCCACC